AGUCGUGCCAACUGCUCUCGGGACGGCCUUGGACAUAAACCUGAGCAAUGCGUCUCUGGUGUUCAUCUCGGUGACGUUUGCUACUAUGUGUAAAUCAGCCUCCCCGAUAUUCUUGUUGCUCUUUGCUUUUGCAUUUAGAUACUUGCAUGAUUGAAGAAGUCAGUUAUUUGAAGUCUGCACUAGCACAAACUAUUGAGCUGUUACCAGAUAAUUCUCAUGUUGGAUUCAUUACGUUCGCGACAUAUGUGUAGGUAAAAGCCCAUAGUUUUCUUUCUAAUGC
Molecule: long non-coding RNA, 280 nt
Organism: Zea mays
Lineage: Eukaryota; Viridiplantae; Streptophyta; Magnoliopsida; Poales; Poaceae
Exons: 3
Source: RefSeq, a predicted model, not a curated record